Non-coding RNA from Triticum aestivum (bread wheat), 100 nucleotides. The record is from Rfam. Lineage: Eukaryota; Viridiplantae; Streptophyta; Magnoliopsida; Poales; Poaceae.
ACGGAAGUGAGGAUCCUUUCCCCAGCUGAUCGACUAUAAUUAUACUGUGAUCAAAUGUAAUCCUUUAUCAGAGGAUUCCAAGCCAAAAAAAUCGAUCCAU